Pipra filicauda (Wire-tailed manakin) is the source of this 249-nucleotide long non-coding RNA. RefSeq lists it as uncharacterized. The transcript has 3 exons. The record is from RefSeq and is a predicted model, not a curated record. NCBI's taxonomy places the organism in Eukaryota, Metazoa, Chordata, Aves, Passeriformes, Pipridae.
GCUGGAGGGCCCUGGUGGCUGCAGUCCCUGAGCCCACAGAGACAGAGAGAGCCCCGGCCCGAGUGGCCUUUGGCCCCUUGUCCUGAAUUUGGGGUGAGCCUGGGAGUGUGUGGAAGAUGCUGGAAUUGGCUCUCUGGGUGUGUGCUGAGCUCUGGCUGCAGGGGACUGUCAGGCCUUGGUGGCUCUGUUCCCUGCUGUCCAUUCCCUGGCCUGAAUUCCUUGCAGCUCCCAGCUGGGGAAACUUGGGAG